Clupea harengus (Atlantic herring) is the source of this 1151-nucleotide long non-coding RNA. NCBI's taxonomy places the organism in Eukaryota, Metazoa, Chordata, Actinopteri, Clupeiformes, Clupeidae. The record is from Ensembl.
ACCCACACACACACACACAAAUCCCAACAAACAUACUUGGGAAAAAAACACUCACUUCAAGUUUUUGUUUUAUUGGAUUCAUGUACCCUAACAAUUUAUGUUUCAAACUCUACCCCAACACAAGUUUCAAAUAUGAUCAAAUAAUACUUCACCUUGUACAUCAAAUGUUGUUGAAAACUCAGCUAUUCAAGAAAUAAUUCAGUUAGAGAUACUUCAUGUAUUAGCAGGGCAGCACAUCAUUUGAAUGGAUCCUCUGGUGUCUCUUGAGAUGUGACAUUUGACUAAAGGUCUUUCCACACUUAGAACACUGAUGUGGCUUUUCUCCUGUAUGUGUAAUCUGAUGUUUGGAUAAGUUGGAGCUUACCCUGAAAUACUUUCCACAUAAAGUACACUGAUACGGCUUUUCCCCAGUAUGGAUCCUCUGGUGUUUCUUGAGAGCAGACAUGCAACUAAAGGCCUGCCCACAUGUACUGCACUGAUGGGGCUUUUCUCCAGUAUGGACCCUCUGGUGUCUCUUGAGAUGAGACAUGCAACUAAAGGCCUGCCCACAUGUACUGCAUUGAUGGGGCUUUAGUCCAGUAUGGACCCUCUGGUGUCUCUUGAGAUGAGAUGAUUGACUAAAUGCCUUCCCACAUGUACUGCACUGAUUGGGCUUUUCUCCUGUGUGUAUUCGUUGAUGAAUUGCAAAAGAGGAAUGGCUUUCAAAUGUUUUGAAACACUGGGAGCAUUCAUGUUGUUUCUCCCUGGUGUCCAGUCGCUGAUGUAAUUCAUGGUAUGAAGUCUGGGGGCGUUUAUGACGGCUCUCUUUGUUCCUUUUUUGCUCAAUGUUCCCUCUUUUGUUAGAUUGGAUCCUUUGAACGUCUCCUGUAAUGUUAGCAAAAAAAAGUUUCAACAACAUCCCUCUCCUCAGUAAUUUCGACAAUACCAGCAAACACAUAUCCUUUGUUAUAUUCAUACCUAUUGGCCAUUUGCUAAAAUUGCACAUCAUUUGGAAGUGACUUAGUAUAAAAGUGUCUACCUAGAGACUAAAUGUAAAUGUAAACAGAGAUACACACACAUGAAUUAAAGAGCUGGAGAAAAAAAAUGGUGGCAGACACUGUCUCUUUUGAAUGUAACAGACUGCAGAUAUUAUCCCAUGACUAACAUAUACC